This 478-nucleotide ribosomal RNA is filed under the name uncultured bacterium. Its description in RNAcentral is "partial 16S ribosomal RNA". It matches the Rfam family "Bacterial small subunit ribosomal RNA", at positions 28 to 523 of the family's 1533-position model. The record is from RNAcentral.
GACGAACGCUGGCGGCGUGCUUAACACAUGCAAGUCGAACGGUAAGGCCCUUCGGGGUACACGAGUGGCGAACGGGUGAGUAACACGUGGGUGAUCUGCCCUGCACUUCGGGAUAAGCCUGGGAAACUGGGUCUAAUACCGGAUAGGACCCUGGGAUGCAUGUCCUGGGGUGGAAAGCUUUUGCGGUGUGGGAUGGACCCGCGGCCUAUCAGCUUGUUGGUGGGGUGAUGGCCUACCAAGGCGACGACGGGUAGCCGGCCUGAGAGGGUGACCGGCCACACUGGGACUGAGAUACGGCCCAGACUCCUACGGGAGGCAGCAGUGGGGAAUAUUGCACGAUGGGCGCAAGCCUGAUGCAGCGACGCCGCGUGAGGGAUGACGGCCUUCGGGUUGUAAACCUCUUUCAGCACCGACGAAGCGCAAGUGACGGUAGGUGCAGAAGAAGGACCGGCCAACUACGUGCCAGCAGCCGCGGUAA